Long non-coding RNA from Carassius carassius (crucian carp), 1331 nucleotides. RefSeq lists it as uncharacterized. The transcript is spliced from 4 exons. The record is from RefSeq and is a predicted model, not a curated record. NCBI's taxonomy places the organism in Eukaryota, Metazoa, Chordata, Actinopteri, Cypriniformes, Cyprinidae.
UGCAUUAUGGGAAGACUUGUUCACUUCGGGUUGCGUGGUCGAUCAACAACAAUUUGACACUGUUAUUUGACAGUAUUAUACCCUAUUUUCAUCCAAUGAGCACAAGGCGCGGCAUUUUGGAAUAUCAGAUUGAGGCAAAUAAUAGGUCGACCGAUCCCAGACUGCCGUCAUACAGCCAUCUUUAUCACACACACACAGAAAGACAUCAGCUUCUGCAGGCAUUUCUUCAUGCUGGUGAGCUCUUCCCUCCUGCUAUUGUAGCAGAAAAGGCAACAGAGUUUGUGCAAUGUCCGCCUUGGUGGGAGAACUGAGGGAAAUCAUCCUCAGGGCUUUGCCGUCAAAUGAUGAGAACACCACACAGCUUUUGAUCGACAAACUUGUAGGCUCGGGAUUGGAAUCCAAAGAUGAUCUUCAGUAUGUUCAACAAGAAGACAUCAGUGAUAUACUACCAACUAUAAAACUCAGAAAACUUCUCAAUGCUUUUAAAAUGGGUAAUUAUAAUCUCACAUCUUCAUCUAUAUUUCUAUUCAUUUUAAAAUGGCUGAACAUGUAAAAGUGGGUUGUUGAGAGAUGUUAACGGGGUUAUAAUUUUCUAUUCAUCAGAUAUGAGCGUUGUUACUCAGUUUUACUUAAACAAUUUGUUUGCUUGCUUGCGCACUCACCCCAGUAGUGACAUGAACAAUGUGAAUAGUUUUAGAUGUAAACAAUGUCUACAUUUGUAGAAAACCGGCCAUUGUUACCAUGUGUGGAAUUGAAUCAAUUUUAUUCUGUAUAUAUCAAGUUGUGUCUGUACAGAUCAUGUGGAUUUUAACUACCUUUUCAAUAUUUUGUUUUACUCAGAGUCAGAAACUGUCACUUUGGAUCAUACCACUAUGCAGCACACUCCUUCCUUAUCAGCUGGGAGCUCCUCACCACAGCCAUGCUCUUCUAAUAUGUCGGUAACUACUGAUGGAGAAUCAAGCAGUCUUGAAAACAGUCGACUAUCUACAUCCUAUUUUAGGAAAUCGUGGUCAAAUACCUUUCAGGUACCAUGGCAGCUCAUGCCUGCAGAAAUUCAGUCUGCUCUCUCUUCUGGGAAGAGACCUUCACCACCAGCAAGACGACAAAUGGUCAGGGUGCUUGCAGAUGAAAUGAGAAAAUUUGAGCCAACACCAACACGUGCACAGUGUCUUACUAUUUGUAAAGCGAUUGUCCAUCAAUAUCCCCAGAGCUUUGCGGAUCAACUUCAUGAUGGCCAAGUUGUAGGGGAAGGUUACAGCUCACUUUUGGCCCAGAUCAAGAAUAGAAUCGAUAACCUCAGCCGGGCCACUAGCUUCCGACAGCACCGGUCA